This is a long non-coding RNA of Oreochromis aureus, 728 nucleotides long. The record is from Ensembl. NCBI's taxonomy places the organism in Eukaryota, Metazoa, Chordata, Actinopteri, Cichliformes, Cichlidae.
UAAAGCAACUCCGCGUUGAUUGAACUAAUUGUUAUCAGCCUUUCUGAAACCGAAUAUUCCGAGUUGGACAGUUCGGGGUUACUCAACCCUGAGUAUCAUUUUUAACUCUGAGUUUUCUAAACCGGCUUUCUGAAACAGGGCCCUGGUCCUGCACUGGUGUCUAUCAGCUUAAUGACUUGCAGAGAGAGGGACUGUGGAAACUCAGCCUGUUCAGAGGUUAUGGAGUUUUCCAAAAAGCCAGCAGCACAUAGCCCGGUGGCGAUGACACUUGGUCCCUGAGAUGGACUAGGUAUACAGGGAGUACCUCGCCCAGUAACAGCAGCAGCAGGACAAGCAGUGGAUGGAUGGAUGGAUGGAUGGAUGGAUGGACGAACAGACCAGAUGGUGCAAAGGACCUUACUAUGGAGUUUAUUUUUGGCCACAAGAUGUGUUACUGCAGUAGUCUAAUGGGCCUUUUGGAAGUGUAACAGCACUACUUGUGCACAACAGAUGGACAAAAAUUCAUUCAUCAUCAACUUUUGACAAGGUUCAUUCGCUAAUUGAAAACUGUAAAGUUUCACAGCUGCAUCACAGCUUUGUCUUUAGACAGCAGUGGCAUUAUUAUUUGUUUUGGGGUUUUUUCCAAAUGUGUAUUUGCAUAGUUUGAAGUUCUCUUAGAUGUAGCUAUUUAGCUUUUAUAUUUUAUAUAUUUUACUUACACUGAACUGUCAACACUGUUUGUAAACACG